CAAUUGCGGUGCCCCGGGGAGCGGCUCCGGCGGGGCGGCCGCCCGCGCUCGCAGCGAGGAUGGAGGCAGAGGGCCGGGUACCGGGGCCGCCGCCGCUCCCCCCCGCCGGGGGAGGGAUCGGGGCCGAGCUCCCCGCCAUCCCCCCCGGCGCGGCCCGGGCGCCGCUCCUGGGCGCCCCCGCCGAGGUGCUGGAGUUGGACGACGAGGAGGACGACCUAGAGGUGUUCAGCAAGGGAAUUUCCCAUUGUCUCAGCGCUUUGAAUCACAUGGCCUGCCCUGAACUAUUACAUUUGGAAAGCAGUUUCAUUCUUCAUGGGGAGCAUGGGCAGCUAGCGCUGGAUACAUCAUUGGCUGAAGCAAACUCAUUCAGUCCUUCAAUGACAAUAUCCCCCUCAUCUAUGAUAAACCAGUAUAAAUUUGAAGAUGAACCAGAAUUAAGAGAUCUCUUCAUUACUGUCGAUGAUCCUGAAAGCCACAUUACAGCCAUUGAAACAUUCAUUACAUACAGAGUAAUCACAAAGACAAAAGAACAUUUUUUCUGCAGGCAAGUAUGGAAGGGCUGUAAGACAUCUCGUGGUGAAUUUGACUCCUGUGAAUAUGAAGUUCGAAGACGGUAUCAGGAUUUUCUUUGGCUGAAGAGCAAACUCGAAGAAGCACAUCCAACACUAAUUAUUCCUCCAUUGCCUGAAAAAUUCAUAAUGAAAGGAAUGGUGGAACGAUUUAGCGAUGAAUUCAUUGAGACUCGAAGAAAAGCUUUACAUAAAUUUUUGAACCGCAUUGCUGAUCAUCCAACUUUAACUUUUAAUGAAGACUUCAAAAUUUUUCUUACUGCACAAGCCUGGGAACUCUCCUCACACAAGAAGCAGGGCCCUGGUUUGCUGAGCAGAAUGGGACAGACUGUAAGAGCUGUAGCAUCCUCAGUAAGAGGAGGAGUUAAAAAUCGUCCUGAAAUGUUUACAGAAAUGAAUGAUUAUAUGGAAACAUUUAGUCAGAAAAUAAAUGUACUGGACAAAAUAGCUCAUAGAAUCUACAAGGAAGAAAGGGAGUAUUUUAAUGAAAUGAAGGAAUACGGCCCCAUCCACACACUUUGGUCAGCAUCAGAAGAAGAUAUAGCAGACUCCCUAAAAGGCGUCGCCAGCUGCAUUGACAAGUGUUGCAAGGCUACAGAGAAACGAAUGGCAGGGCUCUCGGAAAAUCUGUUACCGAUCUUACAUGAGUAUGUUCUCUACAGUGAAAUUCUGAUGGGUGUUUUGAAAAGGAGAGACCACAUUCAAAGCGAACUCAAUUCCAAAAUUGAUGCUUUAGCCAAUAAAAAGGCAGACAAGGAUCUGUUCUCAGAAGAGAUUGGGAAACUUGAAGACAAAGUAGAAUGUGCCAAUAAUGCUCUGAAAGCAGAUUGGGACAGGUGGAAGCAAAAUAUGCAGUGUGAUAUGAGAUCGGCAUUCACUAAUAUGGCUGACGAUAAUCUCCAUUAUUAUGAAGAGUAAGAUAUGCAAUUGCAGUAUAUGGAAACCUCUUGCUGCUAUUUCUAAAAAUGGUGUUGCAGAACAGAUGUGUGACCUGCAGUAAUAGUCAGAAUAUUUUAGUGCCUUGCUACAUGGGAGUCCUUCUUAGCAUCUCAAACAGUGGAUCGUCAUGGGGAAGAAGAUUCUGAAGACAGGCCUUGAGUACUAUCUCUGCUUGAUCUCUACCUUUCCAUGCAGUUUCUCCCAACCAAAGAAGUGCUUUAUAUGAGAUCAGAUAUAUUGUUAAAAGUAACUGUUAAAAUCAGUGAAACGCAGGAAACCAGCUUAUUGAAAACUCAGGUAUUCUAGUCCUGAAAUACAUUUUGGAACAUGCUAUAUAUUGCUUUAUAUUGCUUAGUUGUGAUUUUACAUAUUUUUAUGCAAGUGUUUGCAUACAAUUGUUUUCAUACAUAUUGCAUAACUUGGAUAUAAAGUAUUUUAAAUAUGUAAAAAAUAGCUCAAUUUUAAUAAAAAGUUUAAUAAGAAAA
Molecule: RNA transcript, 1993 nt
Organism: Cygnus olor (mute swan)
Lineage: Eukaryota; Metazoa; Chordata; Aves; Anseriformes; Anatidae
Gene: SNX7
Gene name: sorting nexin 7
Exons: 12
Source: RefSeq, a predicted model, not a curated record